GUAGUGUUAAUUGUUGUGGGGUGAGAGUAAUAUUGAUAUCACUGUUUUUCUAUAUUCGGGAAAGCUAUUGCCAUGGGCAUUCAAAGCCUCUUGAACACUCCACAGCUCAUACAACUAAGGAACAUUAAUCAUUUUUGUACUUCUCAUCUGUCAUUCGGAUUUACUUGGAGGUUAGAUUGCAGAAACUGAGAAUGCAAGAAUAGUCACGUAAAUUGAGGCUUUAUUUUCAUUUUUAUGAUAAUUGUGGCUCACUGCUGCUGCCUUGGCAUAUGAUCAUCAUAUUCAUAUCUUCUUGAAUCUUGAAGCAAGGUCAAUGUGCCUGGGAGCAUAAACUUUACACAAGGAUCACAUUUUAAGCUUAAUAUUUUGACCUUGUAAUUAUGCACUUCUCACUCAAACAUCUAAUACACUCU
RNAcentral lists this long non-coding RNA (413 nucleotides) under Nicotiana benthamiana. Its description in RNAcentral is "long non-coding RNA (NBEN_LNC002190)". The record is from RNAcentral. Lineage: Eukaryota; Viridiplantae; Streptophyta; Magnoliopsida; Solanales; Solanaceae.